RNAcentral lists this ribosomal RNA (495 nucleotides) under uncultured bacterium. Its description in RNAcentral is "partial 16S ribosomal RNA". It matches the Rfam family "Bacterial small subunit ribosomal RNA", at positions 28 to 507 of the family's 1533-position model. The record is from RNAcentral.
GACGAACGCUGGCGGCGUGCCUAAUACAUGCAAGUAGAACGCUGAAGGAGGAGCUUGCUCUUCUGGAUGAGUUGCGAACGGGUGAGUAACGCGUAGGUAACCUGCCUUGUAGCGGGGGAUAACUAGUGGAAACGAUAGCUAAUACCGCAUAACAGUAGAUGUUGCAUGACAUUUACUUAAAAGGUUCAAUUGCAUCACUACCAGAUGGCCCUGCGGUGUAUUAGCUAGGUGGUGGGGUAACGGCUCACCAAGGCGACGAUACAUAGCCGACCUGAGAGGGUGGGCGGCCACCCUGGGACGGGGACAGGGCACAGUGGCCUACGGGAGGCAGCAGUAGGGAAUCUGGGGGCAUGGACGGAAGUCUGACCGAGAAACGCCGCGUGAGUGAAGAAGGUUGUCGGAUCGUAGAGCUCUGUUGUAAGAGAAGAAAGAGUGUGCGAGUGGAAAGUUCACACUGUGACGGUAACUUACCAGAAAGGAACGGCUAACUACGUG